UGGGGGAUAUUGCACAAUGGGCGAAAGCCUGAUGCAGCGACGCCGCGUGGGGGAUGAAGGCCUUCGGGUUGUAAACUUCCUUUGCUCUGAACAAGGCAUGCCUUUGGGGUGUGUUGAGUGUAGGGGUUGAUUAGCGCCGGCUAACUACGUGCCAGCAGCCGCGGUAAUACGUAGGGCGCGAGCGUUGUCCGGAAUUAUUGGGCGUAAAGGGCUUGUAGGUGGCUGGUUGCGUCUGGCGUGAAAGCUCAUGGCUUAACUGUGGGUUUGCGGUGGGUACGGGCUGGCUUGAGUGCAGUAGGGGAGGCUGGAAUUCCUGGUGUAGCGGUGGAAGGCGCAGAUAUCAGGAGGAAUACCGGUGGCGAAGGCGGGUCUCUGGGCUGUUACUGACGCUGAGGAGCGAAAGCGUGGGGAGCGAACAGG
RNAcentral lists this ribosomal RNA (420 nucleotides) under Fusobacteriota bacterium. RNAcentral describes it as "Fusobacteria bacterium partial 16S ribosomal RNA". It matches the Rfam family "Bacterial small subunit ribosomal RNA", at positions 355 to 776 of the family's 1533-position model. Lineage: Bacteria; Fusobacteriati; Fusobacteriota. The record is from RNAcentral.